GAACCACUGGUGCUGUAGACCAUAAGCUCACUUCAAUUUCUCGAAGUAAUGUUUUCUCCAGAACAUUAAGCAGUUUUAAUUUGUCUCACAAUCUAUGAGACUUACUGGAGUCUUAUUGCAGCAUCUGGAACACUAAAUAAAUAAUGGAUGAAUACAAGAGAAAAGAAAAUGAAGAAGGAAAAAAAGAGCAAUCCCGUGACUAAUCAACAUGUAUUUUAUGAAGUCAACAGAUUUUUCCUAGAUUGUGUAGAAGUUAUUGAGGAAGAUCCUGAUUUAUGGGUUAAAUAAAGGGUUUGUCACACAAAGAAGGAAGAUGAGGUGAAGAGACAUAGGAAGAUGGCCAUCUACAAGUCAAUGAGCAAAGUGGAACAGAUCCCUCUCUCACAGCCCUCAGAAGGAACCAACCCUGCUGAUACCUCAGUUUUGGACUUUCAACUUCCAGAACUG
Long non-coding RNA from Pteropus alecto (black flying fox), 447 nucleotides. RefSeq lists it as uncharacterized. The transcript has 3 exons. The record is from RefSeq and is a predicted model, not a curated record. NCBI's taxonomy places the organism in Eukaryota, Metazoa, Chordata, Mammalia, Chiroptera, Pteropodidae.